CCUACGGGAGGCAGCAGUGAGGAAUAUUGGUCAAUGGGCUUACGCCUGAACCAGCCAAGUCGCGUGAGGGAAGACUGCCCUAUGGGUUGUAAACCUCUUUUGUCAGGGAGCAACGCCGGCUACGUGUCGCCGGACUGAGAGUACCUGAAGAAAAAGCAUCGGCUAAUUCCGUGCCAGCAGCCGCGGUAAUACGGGGGAUGCGAGCGUUAUCCGGAUUUAUGGGGUUUAAAGGGUGCGUAGGCGGAAUGCCAAGUCAGCGGUAAAAUCGCGGGGCUCAACCUCGCUCCGCCGUUGAAACUGGGGUUCUAGAGUGGGCGAGAGGUAGGCGGAAUGCGUGGUGUAGCGGUGAAAUGCAUAGAUAUCACGAAGAACUCCGAUUGCGAAGGCAGCAUACCGGCGCCCAACUGACGCUGAAGCACGAAAGCGUGGGUAUCGAACAGGAUUAGAUACCCCAGUAGUC
Molecule: ribosomal RNA, 460 nt
Filed under: uncultured bacterium
Lineage: Bacteria
Description: partial 16S ribosomal RNA
Rfam family: Bacterial small subunit ribosomal RNA
Source: RNAcentral